This 468-nucleotide ribosomal RNA is filed under the name uncultured bacterium. Its description in RNAcentral is "partial 16S ribosomal RNA". It matches the Rfam family "Bacterial small subunit ribosomal RNA", at positions 28 to 507 of the family's 1533-position model. The record is from RNAcentral.
GACGAACGCUGGCGGCGUGCUUAACACAUGCAAGUCGAACGGAAAGGCCCUGCUUUUGUGGGGUGCUCGAGUGGCGAACGGGUGAGUAACACGUGAGUAACCUGCCCUUGACUUUGGGAUAACUUCAGGAAACUGGGGCUCAUACCGGAUAGGAGCUCCUGCUGCAUGGUGGGGGUUGGAAAGUUUCGGCGGUUGGGGAUGGACUCGCGGCUUAUCAGCUUGUUGGUGGGGUAGUGGCUGACCAAGGCUUUGACGGGUAGCCGGCCUGAGAGGGUGACCGGCCACAUGGGGACUGAGAUACGGCGCAGACUCCUACGGGAGGCAGCAGUGGGGAAUAUUGCACAAUGGGCGGAAGCCUGAUGCAGCAACGCCGCGUGCGGGAUGACGGCCUUCGGGUUGUAAACCGAUUUCGCCUGUGACGAAGCGUGAGUGACGGUAAUGGGUAAAGAAGCACCGGCUAACUACGUG